AUACGGAGGGUGCAAGCGUUAAUCGGAAUUACUGGGCGUAAAGCGCACGCAGGCGGUCUGUCAAGUCGGAUGUGAAAUCCCCGGGCUCAACCUGGGAACUGCAUUCGAAACUGGCAGGCUUGAGUCUUGUAGAGGGGGGUAGAAUUCCAGGUGUAGCGGUGAAAUGCGUAGAGAUCUGGAGGAAUACCGGUGGCGAAGGCGGCCCCCUGGACAAAGACUGACGCUCAGGUGCGAAAGCGUGGGGAGCAAACAGGAUUAGAUACCCUGGUAGUCCACGCCGUAAACGAUGUCGACUUGGAGGUUGUGCCCUUGAGGCGUGGCUUCCGGAGCUAACGCGUUAAGUCGACCGCCUGGGGAGUACGGCCGCAAGGUUAAA
Molecule: ribosomal RNA, 376 nt
Filed under: uncultured bacterium
Lineage: Bacteria
Also listed under: 1 other name
Description: bacterial SSU rRNA
Rfam family: Bacterial small subunit ribosomal RNA
Source: RNAcentral